Non-coding RNA from Pimephales promelas (fathead minnow), 476 nucleotides. Lineage: Eukaryota; Metazoa; Chordata; Actinopteri; Cypriniformes; Leuciscidae. The record is from RefSeq and is a predicted model, not a curated record.
CCGGCCAGCAGGACCAGAUGAGCACUGAUAAUUACCAACUGGCAGUGUGGGGCUAAGGACACCUUCAGUGAGUUUCGCCCUUUCCUGCAUGGCGCGCACCCUUCAAAGAGAUUGUGCAGUUUCUUUGUUCAGUCCCAGAGGACGUGUUUUAGCUCAGAGGUUCCUCUUUCAUAGCCCAGGAGACGCAUGCCGUUCUCAGUGGGGGUGGCAGUCAUGGCGUCGCGGGGCAUCUGGCGGGCUACUCCGCGAAAAGUUGGAGAGAUCAGGAUUUCAGCUGGAGAGACAGGUUGCAUGACCAGGAUCUGGCACUGGCUGGAAGAGUGGUCAGUCAGGUAUAGGACACUGUGGGGUUGGACUGGCACUCCAAAUAAAUGUGAAGGUUGGAGACCAAAGACACAGUGAGGUGGAGUCUCUCUUUUGCAAGAUUUGUUUGGAUUAGUGCACCAUGAUCCAAAUUAAAGUUCAAUAUUAACCAU